Sphaerodactylus townsendi is the source of this 2443-nucleotide long non-coding RNA. RefSeq lists it as uncharacterized. NCBI's taxonomy places the organism in Eukaryota, Metazoa, Chordata, Lepidosauria, Squamata, Sphaerodactylidae. The record is from RefSeq and is a predicted model, not a curated record. The transcript is spliced from 3 exons.
GUUGCUGGGGGAAGAGGAGGAGGAGAAAAAAUCAGAGCGACUUAAAAGUCCCAACAAGCGCCGGCCGCGAGAAGUGUUUUAAAGCGCUCGUCCAGGAGGAGAGUUUGCGAGCAGGCGGCCUUUUAUAGCGCGCCUGACGUCAAGGGGGACAGGGACGCCCGGGCCCAGCCAAUCGGCGCCCGCGAAGCCGGCCCUCAUUAGCAUAAAAAUAUAGUAACAAGGAAACUUUUCGAAGCUGUCAAUCAGGGAGCCAAUCAGCUGACUGUCAGCUGGGGAAGAGGGCUUUUUUGUUCUUUUAACUCCUUCGCCGCCGAAGCCGCUCGCUUGGGACGCGCCCCCCGGAGAGGAGUCGCCGAGACCUCCAGAAAGCCGCCGUGUCGUUGCUACCGGGGAGUGAUUGGCAGGUCUUUCGAAAGUGCCCGCGGGGUACCGGUUGGAGACGGACGGAGGCUUUCCAGUCGCCAAGGACGCCUGGUUCCUCGUGCCUUUUGCAGCGCACUGAAACAUCUGGUUAACUUGGCGGGGGGGGGGCAGAAGGGUGCUUGCACAGCUGCUUUGCUCUCGUCGCUUUGCCUUCGGAGCCCCGGGAGGAACUCGCGCUCUAUCCGCGAUUGGGAACGAUCUGCGCGGAGGGGGCGCUCCAGAGAUCGACCGUUUCCCGGCUCGAGAUGCCUGAGAAAAUCCACCUCAAAGAUCUAUUCUUCGUCUGCACCUGUGUAUAGAUGUAUAUUUUUCCUCACUGGGUGUAAUUUACUGUUUGCAUUACCUGUGUUUUAUUUCAUAAUUGAGCAUUUUGCAUUCAAAUUUAUGUAAUGGAUUCGGCACAUUUCUGCCCGAUUAGCAUAAAUAGUCACUUCAUGAAUUACUAACAAAGUUGAUCUGAAAAAUAUCGGCGUAUUAUUUUAUUAAGUGGAACACAAACAUAUGUUCAAUAAAUUCUUGUUUGCUGGUGGCAGGAAGGAAAGCGCUACGAUCCCCGGCUGCGAUGCAGCGUGGAUGAAAGGAGAGGAUAAGCUGAGUUAAUUUAUAUGUAUGAAAUUAAUUUGCCCUGUCAACCUUUCUGUUUAUCUUUAAUAAAGAAGAAUGCCCGGGACUAUUGCGAUGCCAAGAAUCACAAGGCGAGAAGAGACAGUGGCUGCAGCAUCCGUGACAUUUCUCCUUCUUAAUUUCUUAUAUGGACCUACGUGAUUCAGAGGGACAAUCUGAAUCGUUUAUUUUUUUUGGCAGUUCAGUUUUCCUUUGGGAUAAAUUGGCAGUUUGGCCCAAGUCAGGCAGAUUACACCAAUGGAGCUGCAAGAAGCAAAUCCUUCCUUCGGACUGGGGGGAUUUUGUCUUGAGUAAACGCCGGCGAAUUCGUCCUCAGCAGAGUCAGACGGAUGCUUGAAUAAAAGAGAAAUGAAUAUGAUAGAUAUAGUGGCUCAUGUUUAUCUGCACCUCACCAUGCAAGAGUACCUGCCGGGUCUAUCUGGGUAAGUGGAGAGGUGAGACUGCUAUGUUUGCUGUUCUCUGGAAUUCCCUGAGUGUUUUACAAUCCAUUACUCGGGCUACAGUUUUCUGACCAAUUGGAGACCAGGCCUUCUUUCUCUCUUUUUCAGGCACAGAAAAUCUCCUUUUUAAACCCACGCAGAGCAUCAAAUUGGACUCUGCUUGCUGGUAAACAUUAUGGCUUCCAUUUUCUUCUCUUUCCUGCUUUCUCAACUUUGAUUUUUCUCCAUCAAAUCCAUUACAGAUUUUAUACAUGCCUCUUUCUUCUGCAAUAAAUCCUUUUUUUUUUUCUUUUUUGGUCAUCUCAGUCUUGAUUUGUUUUAAUUUUUUAAAAAAUCAACAACCCGAGAGAUUGGUUUUCUGUUAUUAUAAAGUUUAUUCUGGUUGAUUAUCCAUUCUGUGUAAUACUUCUCAUGCACAGGUUGUAUUUUAAAACCUUCACUGCUAAAUUGCCACAACCAUGCUUUUAUUUGUUUCUUAUAGCGUAUCAUUAUUUUCUAUUUAAUGUUAAGAGGUCUGCAUACUUAGAUUUCAUGAGCUAUUCAAAGUCAUUCGGUUUUUCUGAGUUUCGAAAUAGCUCCUAGCAAAAAGACUGAAGCAUCAGUAGAGGCGUUUGCUUGGUGUAUAUUUUGAAUCCAUAUCAGCAAUUCUUAUUCUCAUCAGGUUAUUGAUAAUAUGUUAGAGGUAGUCCUAGCAUAACACGGGGGGAAAUUAUUAUGAUACUGGGAGCAUUUUCUCUUUCCUGGGAGACAAACUGCAGUUCUGCUAAUCAGCAAAUCGGAGUUGGUGGAACCGAAGAUGCGGUACAGUUUUUUUAUAGCAAACAUAAUUGGUUAAUUCUCAUGUAGAAUUUUGUCUGAAUUAAACAAAAAAUCGAUACAUGCCCGGUUUAUGUAAAUCAAUGCCAGUAAUAAAAGAAAUACUAAACUGAAAUAAAGAUUAAAAACACACAAAAAAA